AUGUUUAAAAUGUUUUUUGAAAUAAAUAACAAUCUGAGGACUUAUGUGGAGACAUUUCUAUCUAUCUAUCUAUCUAUCUAUCUAUCUAUCUAUCUAUCUAUCUAUCUAUCUAUCUAUCUAUCUAUCUAUCUAUCUAUCUAUUUCUUUUUAAGAGGAAGAGAGCUGUGUAACAGAACACAUGGAAGAAAAUCAAAACUCCCUCAGAGAAAAGGGCUGGUUAAAUCAGCAGCUAUAAUUCAUGGACAGAAUCUUCACCUUUUAUUCAGUUUAAAUUCUCAGAGGUUUUGUUGUUAUUAGAUUGAAGUGAGAAAAGUUUUGACUUAAUUUGAAUGUGAUGUGAUGAAUGAAGGAUAUGACUAUCAGAACCAUCUCAACUGGUGCUCACGUGAUGUGUGGGCCUUUGUUUUAUGAGCAUUUGACUACAUCGUAUCAAAUUACUGUUUAAAUAUCAUUAGCUCAUAAUGUUUCUCUUUUCUCCCUUGUUUGUCCAUAGACAGAUAUGUAUUAAACAAAUUGUCAAAUAAAUUUUGAACAUUCUUUUAAACACAAACUUUUUGCUUGUUGGUUUGUUUUUUUGAAUAUGCAUUUGCUUAAUACAAAGUUUCAUCUACCGAGGAACACGGUGGGCAGGUCAAAGUUGGUUUGAGGAUAAUGACCCAUCCAGCCGAUCAUGCUUCCUUCUGUAUCUCUGCCUUUUUUCCUGAUUAUUUGCCGCGUAUGCCAGGUACCACAUUCUUUAAACAAUUUUACUUUUUUUUUUUUUUUUAAUUCUCAUCCUCUCCAACAGAAUCUACAAAUAAACACAUAAAAUGAAAUGAAUUUACGUGGACUUAUUACUCCAUUAGACAUUUUUCAGAUCACCAAUGACAGUAUGAGGCUUUAUGAAUUGGAUGUGGUGUGAGAAAGCAUCUGCUUGACUGUUAAAAUCCAAUUAUUGUCUCUUCCAAUAAUCCCGGUGGUAUUUUUAAACUGUGCAGUAGCACACACAAGCUUUUAUUUAAAUUUGUGAACACUACAUAAUUCUAUUUAUUUGUGACCUCCCGACAAACAAAUGCUUUGUUUAUUUAAGCAUGUUCUCUGUAUAUUUAGAAUGUCUAAAAAUUUCAGUUGCAUUUGGUGAGAAAAUUUAAUUAGACUCUUGUCAAUUGGAUUUGGUGACAUUGAAUUAUGAGAGGUUUUGGUGGGGGGGGCGGUCAGGAGGUUGAAAAGAGAGGACAGUGGCAUGUUUACGUGUGUUGUGUGUGUUUGUGAAAAGUAUCUCCCUUGACUGACUCACAGACUCGUGGUAAAUAUCACUCUUAUUGUAUUUGUACAUUACGAGAAACUCUUAUUCUGGCCGUUAACUCAUCUAGCUUUUAAAUGGGUCAUGGGCAGGUUGAAAAGUUGAAAAGAAAAUCAGGUUAUUCGGUGUCAGGCAGAAAAUACAAGAGAUCAUCUUUCACUACUAUACCACUAACAAUCAUUAAAAUCAGCAUUAUAACUAGAGGAUAUUCUGGAUAUUCUCUUAAAGAUCGUAAGUCAUUUUAAUAUUAUCAUAAAAUAAAAUUGAGUGAGAACAUUGGAUAGGAUGAUUACAAACCAUUACUGAAGCAUAGGAAAGAUUAUAUAACAUUUAACAGACUGACAUAAAAGAUUAUGAAAUAUAUUAAUAUUGUUCUUAUUCAAAUAGUUAAUAACCAUUAGCUGGGGGGCAAGUUAAGUACACUUAACAAAUUAUCGGUUUGCGUAGAGAAGUAAUGCUACUCGUUUUGAACAACCUUUGAGACAAAUAAAUCACUUUUCUCAUUACUGAUACAAUCAAUCUCCCUUGCUGCAAAGGUUAUAAGCAGCAGACAUUACAUCAUGUAAUUGAAUCAUUAAUAUACUUAAUCUCAUUAACAGAAAAAUUAAGGAACAAAUUUGCCUUUUCUUUAUAAACCUGCCACUGAUGACCAAUGAGAACUCUCAGUAUAAUUAUAUUCAUCAUAAUUAGUGCAUAGUAAUAAGUGAUUAACAUACAAUAAUGGCUGAGAGAAGCUCUUUGUUCCUAAUUGCUGAACAUGUACUCGAGUUCAUACCCUUUUUGUGUUUAAUUGAUACCGUUUCGCAAAUGAUUAAUCUUAUUAAUUACUGUUGAAUUUUCCUGUGCCUUUAAAGGUUGAGGUGUUGGAAAAAAUGGCAGUGUAAAAGUACAUAUGUGGAAAACUGUGUGUGUGUGUAUUUUUCACUUUGAAGGAAUUGUUUAUUAUUAUUAUUAUUAUUAUCAUUAUUAUUAUUAUGUUUUAAUACACACACAUACUGUACAGACAGAGAAACACACACUUUCUAUUGUAUUAGAUUUAGCCUCCUCUAAUCAAUUAUAUUGAUCACCUCUGAAACGGCAGGAGGAUCAAUAGAGCCUUAAUGCGAGUUUGCUGUCCAAUCAGAGCCUGUUAAAAUCAAGAGAAGGUCUUCAAUAGACUGUCUGCUUCCUGUCACAUACACCAGGAGAUAAAUGUGCAUAAUGGUGUCCUAUACAGCACACACACACACACACUGUCAUCGUAAAGUUUAAAUCCAUGAAUAUCAAAAAAAGCAUAGCUUAUCAGCAAAACAUAAAUUUAUAGAAUACAUAAAGAUCUUUAUAUGACCUGUGAAGCAUGAUAUUAAUUCAAAUUCCUCUGCUGAUAUAUCCCUGAAGGAGACUGAUCUUGGGCACCUCCUGUAGAUGUUUGUCAGCUGUGUAUAUGUUUGUUCUCACAGGGCCACAGUUGGCUAUGACUCUAGAGGAGACUUUGUAAGCGCCUGGACUCUUACUGUGAAUAUUAACGAGUGAGAAAAAGAGAAAAGGAAGGAGAAAGAAAGAAGGAGAGCGAAACAGAGAGAGAGAAUAAGGGCAUGAAAUCUUAGAAAGCGGUUGAGAUAGAAAAAGAAGGAUAAAGAAAUGGGAAAACUGGGCCAGAGAGGGUAAUAGGCUAGCACAGUCUCUGCUCUCUAAAACCUGCACAAAGGAAGAAAGGAAGUGAUAGUGGGACAUGUGGGAGGGAGCCAGCCAAUGGAAAAGGAAGCAAUAAAAACAACAGCAAACUUCCCUGCACAGGAACCUGUGCACAUUUGUGUUUGUGUGUGUGUGUGUGUGUGUGUGUGUGUGUGUGUGUGUGUGCUGUGGGUGGUCAGUAGGUCAGUAGCUGUACUCAAACAUGUUUUGUUACAUAAAGCUAUAAACAUAAACAGGGACACUGUUAGAUAAAAAAAAAAAUGUGAUAGAGGAAGGGAGAGAAGUAAUUUGCUCUGUAUUUCAAGGAGGUUUUUACUCAUCAUCUUUGGCUCCAAUGGUCACUUUUUACGCUGAAAAUGUCAUACUUGUUUUUUGGUUUUCUUUCCAGCGAGUGUGCAUGUGUUUUACUGUGUGGUCUUUGUGAAUGAGGCUGCUUAGUCUGCUUUUCAAAGACAGACUCACAUAUUGCUUAUCCUUCCUCCAGACAGUGGCAGUUUCAAACCACCGAAACCCCAGUUCCGUCUAAUGUGUGUUAUUGCUUGUUUUAAAGAACAAUUAAAAAUGAAAAGCUUGAAUUUAAUGUAGUUUUUCCUUUGUCGGGUGCUGGAAAGAUGUGAAUGAAAGAGUAAACAUCUUGGAACAUUCAUUUUACAUUUCUCACACUGAAAAUGUCUUGUGCAUGCUAUUUACAGCACCUCUUCCUAAACAUCACACUUAUUCCUGAAAUGUGCUGGAAAUUUCUUAACCGCUUAGCAAUAAUAAAAUCAUAUCAUAGUUCAUGCGGAAACAGAGGGAUUUUUUAAAUCUGUUUUUACAGGCUGAAAAUAUCACUUAAGCCAAAAGUGAUAUGUUCAUCCUUUUUAAAACAAAUUUUAAAGGCAAUUAUGUGCUAUUUCUCUUUUUGCUUCUUGUUACUCAUUUAUUAAUCUGUUCACAUGACUCCCAGGCUUAUUAGUGAUUUAUAUAUUUUGUAAAGCAUAAACAGCUCUGAAGUCACACUCUUUCUCCUUGUUUUUACGUACUGACUCACUCUGAAUCUUUGAGUGUGUAUGUGUCCAUAUAUGUGUUCAGGCAAAGUUUCUCUAAGAUCUAGGCACAAUGUGUAUAAAUUGUACAUUUUAAGUUAUUUUUUAAGUUAUUUAAUUCAUUUGCUUACCAUGUUUUAUGUGUGGUUUCUUUAAGAUUAUUUACAAGGUGAAAUUUGUCCUUCUGUUUUUAAAAUUUUAGGUGAAAUGUGUCAAAAUAAUCUCCCUCUAACACUACAACAUGCUCUCAGCAAAGAGCUCUUACUCUCCAAAUAGCAUUCAUCAGUG
Molecule: long non-coding RNA, 4269 nt
Organism: Cyprinus carpio carpio
Lineage: Eukaryota; Metazoa; Chordata; Actinopteri; Cypriniformes; Cyprinidae
Source: Ensembl